UUUCUUUCUCUGUGUGUUUGGCUUUGUGUUCUUCCUUACUUCUCCUUUUUUUCUUCGUUCGUUCGUUUUCAGAGAUACGGAAUUGCAGUAUUAUGCUUGAGAAGGUUCGGCUCCAUUGUUUAAGGAUAGAGAAAUUUUGCUGGAAAGUUUUUCAAGGGGAAACGUUUUACCGUUAGGUUCGAUGAUCAAGAAAGAAGUAAUAAUAUGCUGCUUUAGAAAUGAUGUGUGGAAAAAGUAUUACAGGUGCAAGAAAAUUAACCUGAUUAGUUGGAAUUAUGAAAUAGGAUGAAAUG
RNAcentral lists this unclassified non-coding RNA (293 nucleotides) under Polistes dominula (European paper wasp). Its description in RNAcentral is "lipoma HMGIC fusion partner, transcript variant X2". Lineage: Eukaryota; Metazoa; Arthropoda; Insecta; Hymenoptera; Vespidae. The record is from RNAcentral.